This is a long non-coding RNA of Humulus lupulus (European hop), 819 nucleotides long. RefSeq lists it as uncharacterized. The transcript is spliced from 3 exons. The record is from RefSeq and is a predicted model, not a curated record. Lineage: Eukaryota; Viridiplantae; Streptophyta; Magnoliopsida; Rosales; Cannabaceae.
ACUAUUCAUAGUGGGUCCCACAGUGGGGUCCGCAAGGGUCCCACAGUAGGGUCCACAUGGGUCCCACAGCGGGGUCCACCCCAUGGGUUCCACAUGUUGAUGCAGUAGUGACACAUUGAUGACUUAAGCAAAUUACUAUGCUUGAUAUUUUGAAUAUGUUAUUAUUCCACUAUGCUUAUUAUUUUUAAUAUUUUAUUAGAAUAGUAUCCCAAGUUUUUCCUAUAAAUAGCCCUUCCAAAACUCAUCUUGAAAUCACAAAAACAUCAUUUUCCUUUCUCUUACUAUACCCAAAAAUCUUCUUAACAUCCUUCUAAAGUUCUAAACCUCGGAGAUCUAGGCGAAGUUCUGUCCGUAACGCUAGCCUACGAAAACCUUUUAGGAAGCUAACAAUUUCGGUUGUUUUAUCAAGACGCAAGGUAAGAGGCCCCAAAUAUAAAUCGUUGAUGAGUAUACGUGGAGCCAACAUGACUGUACAUAUGGGGCUGACCUGAAGGGAGUGGAGUUCUGCUAUGCUAUUUUAUAAAUAAACAAGAAACUUGGUUUUAUUAUAUUUCAUUAAAAGUAUCUUGUGAACUUUAUCAUUUACUUAAAGCUUUAAAAGUAUUUCAUGAACUUUGUAAUUUACAUAAAGCUUUUCGAUUUAUCAGUUGGAUACAUUUUUAUUUCUACGUUAAGGUGUAGUAACGCCACGAAAAUGAUUUAUAAAAGUAUUAAGAUUUGUAUGUAAGAUAAAGUUUUUAUUUAGUUGUGAGUAUUGUGUGGUUUGAGGUUAUAAACAUUAUUUAUGUAUUGUUUAAUAAAGUUUUUGUAAAUUCAGAA